Molecule: non-coding RNA, 109 nt
Organism: Aneurinibacillus migulanus
Lineage: Bacteria; Bacillati; Bacillota; Bacilli; Caryophanales; Paenibacillaceae
Source: Rfam
UUCUCAUCAAGAGAAGGCGGAGGGACUGGCCCGAUGAAGCCCGGCAACCUGCUUGCGCAUGCGCAGGCAAGGUGCUACUUCCUACAGGAGAUAUCCUGAGAGAUGAGAG